AAAAAAAAAUUACGUGCUGCUCUCCGUAUGUAUAAGACUGUAAGGCAAGGUUAUACUGUAUUAUUUAGGUGGGAUGGUCUAUGGGCCUUCUUCAAUCAGGUGGGGCAAAAGAAUAUUUAAGUGGAGGCCCAAAUAACUUGUCUGAAGUGAAUAAUUGUCCCUGAAAUUUUCCAGGAAGUCAGCAAAAUUAAAUUGCAGUAGUAGGAGCUAGUUAGGACAUCUCCAAUGGUCGUUGAUACUAAUUUUUUUUUCUCUUUUUUCAAUAUGUUUUUUUUUCUCUAUUCAUUUCUUUUUCUUAAUGGACCCACAUGUUAUUUUCUUUCCUGUCUUGGUAUCCGUGCAGUAACUGUUACUUCUUCAAGUAAUCGCUACUUAGUUGUGGUAUUUAUCUCUUCUCCAUAUUGGUCACUAGUUUCUUGGUAUCCCUGUAGUAUCCCCUUAGCUACAUGUACCGCUAAUGCAUAUGCACCAAUGGUUAAUCCCCACAUCUUUGUGAGUCAUCCCAGAGAUAGCAUAUAUACUACCCCAUUAUCUUAACAACCACGCUGUAAAAUAACAAGCAAGAGGCACAUUUUCAAGCUCAAGCAGAGCAGGAAGGAAUAAAUUACGAUAAACUAACAUGUUGCCAGUUGGUCAAGUUAUCAUGUACUAGCUUCCAUGAAGAUGGAAUGUAAACAAAAGAAAAUCAUGAAGAAAAGUUGUGCAGUGUUGAGAAAGAUCGAGUUACCAAGUUUCCAAACAAGCACAUCAUCACCAAUCUAUCUAUCAAUCUAUACUAAAAGUGAGGGGUAGAUACCCAGGAGAGACUCCACGUUGAUCCACAUCAUCUGAAUUAGUUUGGUCGAUGGAUCUUACAUUUAACGGUCUAGAUUUAGAUUUCAUGAGAGAUUUCAUGAGAUAUGUUUGAUGUCUUAUCAAUAGACAUUAAAGUGGUUUUAGGCUCAAGUAGGCCAAAUUUGUAGAACUAGUGAUAAUUAGAGGUAUAUUUGAUAGGCUAUAAUAAACCUGAAAAUGGUUCCAGCCCAAGUAGGCCCAAUAUGUUAUAAUUAGUGGUAAUCCAAACAUAACAUGCCAACAUUGCAGCUUUAUUU
RNAcentral lists this long non-coding RNA (1091 nucleotides) under Brachypodium distachyon (stiff brome). Its description in RNAcentral is "long non-coding RNA (BDIS_LNC005082)". The record is from RNAcentral. Lineage: Eukaryota; Viridiplantae; Streptophyta; Magnoliopsida; Poales; Poaceae.